CAAGGGCCCCAUGACUGGCGGCUAUAUGUGGAAUUGACCACAGGGGAGUGGGGCCAAUAGGAAUGCCGGCCGCCUGGGCAAAUUGC
Molecule: non-coding RNA, 86 nt
Filed under: Fervidicola ferrireducens
Lineage: Bacteria; Bacillati; Bacillota; Clostridia; Thermosediminibacterales; Thermosediminibacteraceae
Description: ZTP sequence
Rfam family: ZMP/ZTP riboswitch aptamer (pfl RNA motif)
About the family: Previously known as pfl RNA. ZMP is also known as AICAR.
Source: Rfam by way of RNAcentral